GACGAACGCUGGCGGCGUGCUUAACACAUGCAAGUCGAACGGAAAGGCCCUGCUUGCAGGGUACUCGAGUGGCGAACGGGUGAGUAACACGUGGGUGAUCUGCCCUGCACUUCGGGAUAAGCGUGGGAAACUGGGUAUAAUACCGGAUAGGAGCCAUCUUUAGUGUGGUGGUUGGAAAGUUUUUUCGGUGUAGGAUGAGCUCGCGGCCUAUCAGCUUGUUGGUGGGGUAAUGGCCUACCAAGGCGGCGACGGGUAGCCGGCCUGUGAGGGUGUACGGCCACAUUGGGACUGAGAUACGGCCCAGACUCCUACGGGAGGCAGCAGUGGGGAAUAUUGCACAAUGGGCGCAAGCCUGAUGCAGCGACGCCGCGUGGGGGAUGAAGGCCUUCGGGUUGUAAACUCCUUUCGCUAGGGACGAAGCUUUUUGUGGCGGUACCUAGAUAAGAAGCACCGGCUAACUACGUG
RNAcentral lists this ribosomal RNA (465 nucleotides) under uncultured bacterium. RNAcentral describes it as "partial 16S ribosomal RNA". It matches the Rfam family "Bacterial small subunit ribosomal RNA", at positions 28 to 507 of the family's 1533-position model. The record is from RNAcentral.